CCUACGGGAGGCAGCAGUGAGGAAUAUUGGUCAAUGGGCGAGAGCCUGAACCAGCCAAGUCGCGUGAAGGAUGACUGCCCUACGGGUUGUAAACUUCUUUUAUAUAGGAAUAAAGUGAGGAACGUGUGCCUUUUUGUAUGUACCUUAUGAAUAAGCAUCGGCUAACUCCGUGCCAGCAGCCGCGGUAAUACGGAGGAUGCGAGCGUUAUCCGGAUUUAUUGGGUUUAAAGGGAGAGUAGGCGGGUUGUUAAGUCAGUGGUGAAAGUUUGUGGCUCAAACGUAAAAUUGCAAUUGAUACUGGUUGACUUGAGUACAGUUGAGGUAGGCGGAAUUCGUGGUGUAGCGGUGAAAUGCAUAGAUAUCACGAAGAACUCCGAUUGCGAAGGCAGCUUACUAAACUGCAACUGACAUUGAGGCACGAAAGUGUGGGUAUCAAACAGGAUUAGAUACCCCAGUAGUC
RNAcentral lists this ribosomal RNA (460 nucleotides) under uncultured bacterium. RNAcentral's name for it is "partial 16S ribosomal RNA". It matches the Rfam family "Bacterial small subunit ribosomal RNA", at positions 338 to 795 of the family's 1533-position model. The record is from RNAcentral.